RNAcentral lists this ribosomal RNA (439 nucleotides) under uncultured bacterium. Its description in RNAcentral is "bacterial SSU rRNA". It matches the Rfam family "Bacterial small subunit ribosomal RNA", at positions 29 to 507 of the family's 1533-position model. The record is from RNAcentral.
AGCGAACGCUGGCGGCAUGCUUAACACAUGCAAGUCGCACGGGCAGUAGCAAUACUGUCAGUGGCGACGGGUGAGUAACGCGUAGGAAUCUAUCCUUGAAUGGGGGACAACCGUGGGAAACUACGGCUAAUACCGCAUGAUGCCUGAGGGCCAAAGACGAAAGUCGUUUGAGGAGGAGCCUGCGUCUGAUUAGGUAGUUGGUGGGGUAAAGGCCUACCCAAGCCUACGAUCAGUAGCUGGUCUGAGAGGAUGAUCAGCCACAUUGGGACUGAGACACGGCCCAAACUCCUACGGGAGGCAGCAGUGGGGAAUAUUGGACAAUGGGCGCAAGCCUGAUCCAGCAAUGCCGCGUGGGUGAAGAAGGUCUUCGGAUUGUAAAGCCCUUUUGGCGGGGACGAUGAUGACGGUACCCGCAGAAUAAGCUCCGGCUAACUUCGUG